RNAcentral lists this ribosomal RNA (161 nucleotides) under uncultured bacterium. RNAcentral's name for it is "partial 16S ribosomal RNA". It matches the Rfam family "Bacterial small subunit ribosomal RNA", at positions 355 to 509 of the family's 1533-position model. The record is from RNAcentral.
UAGGGAAUCUUCACAAUGGGCGAAAGCCUGAUGGAGCAACGCCGCGUGAGUGAAGAAGGUUUUCGGAUCGUAAAGCUCUGUUGUUGGUGAAGAAGGAUAGAGGUAGUAACUGGCCCCUAUUUGACGGUAAUCAACCAGAAAGUCACGGCUAACUACGUGCC